UGGGGGGGAACCGCCCCAGGCUUUAGACCACCCGGAUCCCACAAAAACUCUCACAUGAGUGGGGUCUCCUAUCGCUGUCGGGGCAGAGACCGAGGAGCGAGGUCGGAGCCUCCGGGGCGGCUUCCCCCUCGCCUGUUGGCGCGCUCCGCAGGCGGGGCCUCCGGAGCCUGUAUUCCUUAACCCCACCGCGCCCCGACUGAAGUCAACAGUAACAGACACUCUGGACCAGGCGGCUCUCUAAACCGGGCACCUGGAGACCCCCCCCCUCACACCCGGACCCUGCCCUCGAGGCCCUCAAGAUCGGUAAGGGGAGGCGACACAGACACAAGGCAGACAAUGUAUGACAGCGAGAUAAGAAAGCACGGAAGAGGAAGGGACUGAAGGGAGGAGGCCCUGCUUUGCGGAUGUGAUGGCACUGAGUUGGGUCGUAAGGGAGGCAAUAGGCAUUGGCCAGGAGGAGAGAGAAACGGAUUCCAGGCAGCUGGAAGAACAAAUGCAGAGGUUCGAGGGCAUAAAAACUUCCAGCAGAUUCGAGCCUGGAAGGACGGGAGGCAGAACUGCCCUUGUGGGGAGCAAGGUUUUAGGGUCCAGUUCGUCGCAGAAAAUUUAGGACCUUGAGAGUGAAGGAGUGCAGCUGAUUUCAUCCAGCAAACCCCUGGCCUAGAGGGGAGAAAAGGCUUGCCUGAGAUUGCACAGGAGUGGAUGGCUGAGCUGGCCUGCAACCCAGUUAUCAGCAGCCCUGACUCAGGGCUCAACCGAUCACUCUAUUUGGGCGGCCUCUGGAAGAGCAGCAGCAUCUCUUACAGGUACACUUGACAGUGAAUCGUGGGUUUGCAGGGAACUGUGACAAAACUGCCUCCAGCAAGACCCCUGUGCAGAGCUCUGCAGACAGGAUGGUGUGAAGAAUGAAAGGAGAGAUUCGCUGGAGCCAUACAAGCCAUGGAGGUGACAGCUGUAGCUUUGCAGUCUUAGUGACAUCUGGAUGUGCCGUGUAUACAUUUUGAUUGGAUAAAUGCAAGAAUCUGGCAACAAUCAUCUUUAGCCAAAUUUAUAGGUUUAUUUUUAUGCUUCUCUUUAAAUAGUUGUUUAUGUCUAUAACCAAUGGACCACCAAAGAUUAUAAAUUAAAUAAUAUAGAACUAAAAAUUAAACAGUCUAAAAGCAUGAAAUGGUCAAAAUGCUUGGGGUUUGAGGGAAGUGAGUUCAUCUGUAGCUAAAGGGGUCCUGGGACCCCCAACCUUCCCUACACACCACGUGCACGCACUGUUGACUAUUGCAUUAAAGUGAAAACAGUGUUUGGAAUGGGAUGAACUGAAACUACACCCACCAAGGAGAGAAACUUGUGAUUUGGGCAUCAUUCAAUAUGGGCGAAUGUGAACAAUGCUUUGAAAUGGGCAGGAAAGAUGACCUCUUCUCAUUUUCCAAAAAGGCAGGUCAAAGUUAUAUGAAUAAGAGGAAUAGAAACUUCUUUGGUAGAUGAGAUGUAGCAGAGGUGGGGUGGAAUAAAGUGGCAAGAGGGUCCUUCACAAGGAACUUAAAUCCUCAAGAUGUUGAAGUAUAUUUGGUUUUAGCCGUGUUCAAGAGAAAACCAAGCACAGCCCAAGAGGAAGCUUCUUCCCACAGUACUCACCCUCCCUCUGGGCAGCAGGCAGGCCACAGCUCGACCCUAUGCAAAGCCACCAGGCUCAGCGAAAAUAGGUGGCUAUGAAAUUCCCAAGGCACUAGCAGGGACUAGGGACUGGAUGAGCUGGUGACACAACUGGAAGAACUUCUAGGGAGGAGACCAUGAGAGAUGAGGGGGAGACAGGUGGGAUCACCUCUGCAGCCUCCUUUGUGAGGCCCCAGCCAUUAUCGAGGGCUUGGGGGCGGUGGGGGGGGAAAAGGGCAGAGUAAUUGAGACCCGCUUUUCACUUACAGCCCAUCAUUCCUUCCAACUUUCUAAAGUUUUAGGCUGCUGACGUAUGUGAAAAGCAGCUGGUCCAGUGUGAUGCCGUUUGAGGACAGUGAGUGAAGAGGUACCUGACCCAGGAAAAACUCCUUGCUCCUCCCUUACGUCUUUGGAACAGUCCUUCAGAGCUAUCUGAGAGGCUGCCAUCCCCGGCUAUAGUCCUCAGUAAGGCUGCAAAUAAAACAAAGUUCUCAACUUUUAGGUGGUGUACUUACUUUUAGUCAACAGUAGGAAGAAAACUAAAUUGUUAGGUCUCACAAAGCGGGAAGGUGAUUGUUGGUAUUGAACACUAAGAGGUCUAGUCUAGUAUAGUGUGCCGCUGUCAAAUAUGGUAGCCAUUAGCCAUAGGUGGCUAUUUAAAUGUAAUUAAAAGUAAUUAAUUGAAUUUAAAAAAUAAACUCAGUAAAAGUUUGUCUUCCUCCAUGGCACUUAGCCUCAUGUCAAAUGUCCAGUAGCCACAGAUUAGACGCUACCCUAUUGGACAAUGCAGCUAUAGAAUAUUUCCAUUAUUAUAAACAGUUCUUUUGAACAGCAGUAAGAGAACUCAAGAGUCCCAGGCGACGGUGACGCCUGGGAGUGCAGUCUCCUAAGAGUGAUGGGGGUGGAAGCCCUGUGGGAGGUGCAGACACGUAGUGUGUAGUAUUCUUUCUAAAACUCAGUCCAGCAGCGCUACUCUCUCCCUAUGACAGCUAUCGUGUAACUCGUGCGUACCUCGAACCCACAGCCCAGGCUCAGAGAGCGAGGCUCCACCACUUCACCGCGUUUCCCUGCCUGCACAAACUCACUACCGUCCCCACACUCCAUCUCCCCACAUGCCCCAGGCCCUUUUCCCGCGACUCUGGCUCUUGGACUUCUGGGAAAUGUAGUUUUAACAGCGUUCCAACUCGGAAAAGUUCUAGCAGCGAAUUGAGGCUCCCAAGAGGCAGUGCACGGGCCGCCAUAUCUGCCGUGAAGGGCGCCGAAGUCGGCACCCCUACUAAAGUACAGCGGUAACUGAGAUGCUGGAGUCCUGGGAGACCGCGCUGUGCCUCUCCCUGCCAUUCCUUAGGUCUCCGCCGCUCCGGAGCUGUAGAAACGCCUCAACCCAAGCAGAGCAGACAGGGCCCCAGGGAACCAUAGUAACUGGGCGGCCACAACCACUAGGGGACUUGAAGGCAGCGUCCGACGGCGAACAGCCAGAAGGCCAUUGGGCGGCCCCUUACGCGCAGCGCACGCGCAAAUGCUGGGCCUCAAGGCUUCCGUAAACACCAAAGAGCGCCUGCGCAAACGGAGCGCUUCGGGGUGGACACGAGGGGGCGCCUUAGCAAAGGCUUAGAGAGACGGAGUCUGGAGGAGUCCCUAUUCCUCAUCCUUCUCCUACCCAACCUGGGCCUAGUGGAGAAAGGCCCUGUUCUGUUGAGAUGACUACCAAAGGCCAGAAACUAAGGAGGAACUGGAGAAUCCUGAAGACAGAGGACAGUGUUGCUGGAGCUGUACAGACCCUGCUUCUCAGGAGAGUGGCCCAGCCCUCCAGGCUCCAAGUGAACCCAGACUGUUUCUUUUCUUCCAUGUCAGAAGAGGGAGGCACUGCCUCCAGGUGAAGGAGCAGAGGCUUAGGAAAGAGGCCAUGCCUUGGGGACAGCUGGCAGACGGGGGUUAAGGGGCCUCAGGAGACAAAAACUGAUAGCAGCUGUGGUGUUUAUUGAGUGCUCAUUGCUUGCUGGGCACCGUGCUGAGCUCUCCACGUGCGUGAACUCACUUCGUCCCCGAGGCAAUGGUGUAAGUCCUACUAGCCUACUCAUUCUAGAAAUGGGAGUACUGAGACACAGAGAGGUUAAGUAACUUGUUCUAGAUCACACAGUAAGAGGUUUUAACCCAGACAGCCUGGCUCCAUAGCCCAGGCUCUUAACCAUUGUGGUAGACUGCUGAGCAGGGUAUUUCACCCUGUCUAUUCCUCCUCCUCUUCUGUCCUUCCCUCCCCAUCCUCCAGUCCCUGUACCCUAGAGUCCUGGGAGCUUCUCUCUGGGCCUUGCGGGGUCUUGCUGCCCAGGGUGCUCCCAGGCUUGGGGGAAAGAGACUAACAGAGCUCCACUGCAACCCCCCCUCCAUGCAGGACUUCACAAUUUACAGAGCCCAUCCACCUGCCCCAGGCCGGUGGAGGGGCAUCCUGAGCACCACCCCUUCGACAGGAAGACAGACCAGAGAGGUGCAGGGCCUUGCCCAAGGUCGGCAGGGCCCAGGGUGGAACCAUGGAGACUCCUCUUUGGGAGGGCCCAGGCCCAGAUGGCCAGCACCCCCUCUGCAGGCUGGGUCCUUCUGCUGAUGAUGUCUUUGGGGCACUGCCGCCUGCAGCAGCUCAGUUCGAUUGCUGGGUUGAUGCAGCCUUCCACAAGCCCUCAAGUUUCCAGUCAGAGGCUCCUGAUCCAUCUGCCUGACCCCAGGCCCUCCCCUCAGCUAUGUGCUCAGGCUGGGUGGCAGUGGGGGUGGAGGUGUCUUUGUGUGUCUCUGGGGAGGACGAGGUUUUCUGGCCCUUUUACCAGGGCAAGAACUCCAGCCUUGGGACGACAGCCUCUUUUCUGGAAGGCUGCACAACUUCCUUCUUUCCGUUUCUUUGUAUUUUUUAAUCUCAAAGCUGGGCCCUCAGUGCCCUGCCAGGACAGUUCCGACCUCCUGGGACUAGAGGGGCCUCUGGGGAGCACUUAGGAUCACCCGUUGGAUGGGGGAAGGGGCAGAGGGUCCACCCCCCCAAACCCCUAGGCUAUUGUUCCUACCUGGGAGAGGCUCAUCUAAGAGGCCUGCUUGAGGAGCUCAGACCUGCCCAGGAACACAGCCCAGCCCAGGUAUAACAUGACUUCCCUCGCACCCCUUCUGCCCCUGCCAGGGGACCACACGUGGGGAUACCAAGGAUAGGUUCUGUUUCUUGCUGGGCCUUAUUUUUCUCGUUUGUCAAAUGAGGCUAAGAGUCCCUGUAUGACCUUCCACCUAAGGUUAUUGUGAAGGUUAGACAAAAUGAGUGUGGCAGACUCUUACUCUGGCCCAGGGCCUCUUCACAGAGAGGAUGUGCAAGGCUGUUCGUGUGUGUGUGCGUGUGCAUGUAUGUGCACGUGUGUGCAACAGCUGUGACCCGGGUGCUGACUGUACCUUCCCAGGGCAGGUGAGGGACCGGUGUAGCUCUCUGAGGCUUUGUGAUGUGGGUGUGGCACAGGGCCUCAGGUAUAACGUUGCCAGAUUUAGCAAAUAUUUGCUACAUGCUCAUACUAAAAAUGAUCUUCCUUAUCUGAAAAUCAAAUUUCAUGAGGUGUCCUGUGUUUUAUCUGGCAACUCUACUUGGGUGACCUGGUGCACCCGAGCCAGUGUACCCAUGUUGGGCUCCCACGCAUGAGACUGAGGUUGUAUGUGGCUGUGUGGGUCUGUGACAGGACAUCAGUGUGAUGGCACAUGGCUGUGACAGUGUCACCAGGAGGAGAGGGGAUGUGGGUAACUGUGAUUGUGUGCCUCUCUGUGACUCCCUCAGGCUCUAGCAGCUCCCUCAGGGCAGUGCUUGGGCUCUUUACUCAGGGAGGCCCAGCAGGGGUAGGAGACCCACCCUGGGCAAACACUUAGAUCCAGGUCCAGUUGGGACUGGGGUGCUGAGCCUAUUGCCACCUGCAUCAAACUGUAAAGGACAUGUCUGUCUCAAGGCCGAGCCAGCCCUGGGGGCCUCAGGGUGCUCUGCCCUGGGCCCUUCCAGAGGGGCCUCAGGAAUUACCUCUCUACUCUGCUCCUUCCUGGUGACAUCACACAGGUCAUUGCCCAGUCUUCUAGAACGGUGCCCCCAGGAUACUGCCUCGUUACCCUAGGCAACCUGGGAAUUUUCUCCGACUAAACUGGCAGGGCCAGUUACCCCUGAGGAGAGGGAGUUGGGGGAGAAGGCGUCAGGGGGGCCUUCUCCUCAUCUUCCAGGGGGAGAUCCAGGCAGCCAUCCGUCUGACUAGAUGAUGAGUUGGAGGGAGCACCCCAGAGCAAGUCAAGACCUGGUAGCCCCUCAUUGUCCAGGACACUGGACAGGGUGGGGCCCUUGGGCAGAGGAUGAAUCCUGAAGCAGAGAGAGGGUGGUGACUACCCCAAGGUCACCCCUGGGGUAGUGAAAGUAGUGGUGUAUAAUGGGGAACAGGGACAGAGCCUUGGGUUAGGAGCUGGGAGACCUAGGAUCUUACCUCUGCUUUGUCCCUGCUGGUGGGGCCUUUGUUUCUCCAUCUGUACAGUUAGGGGCUGUGGCCAUAUGAUAUCAGUCUCAGGGUCUUUAGUCCUGACGGGGACUCAGCGAGGGGAGUUGAGGGGAAUGUGAGGGACCAGGUCAUGGGUGGCUCCGGGCAGGUGCCCUGACCCUAUUGCAACAGCUGUCAGGGGGCAGUGAGCAAGGACUGGUAUGGAUAUCUCCAAACGACCGCCAACCCCCAUUCCAAGAGUCCUGUGGUACUGGAGGUCCCUAGAUGGGUUCUGUCUUACUUUGAUUCAGGGGCGUCCCCAUGCCUCCCACACCUCAGCUGCUCUCUCUGUGAGGGGCAUGUGUAAGACCAGCACUUGCUCAGCACCCUGGGUAAUGAUUCCUCACAUUCUCAUGAUCCCUCUCAGUUUGCUAAGCACCUUCUCUUUCUCUUACACGCUCCCGCCUUCCACUCCCACUCUGACUCCUGCUUGGUGUUGUCCCAUUCUGGGUCUGGGGCCCAGAGAGGCACCUCACCCAAUCCACUUUCCGUCAAGGGGCCCUGUGGCUGGUGCAGGGGCUGCAGCGGGCAGAGCAGGGUCAUGCUUUGCCAAGCUUUUCCACUGUUUACUCUUUCCUGAGAAUCUUAACAACCAUCCUAUCAAGAUGUUACCUUAACACUUUUUUGUUGGAAAUAUGCCAUUUUUGUACAGUGCAUUUAUUCCUCCCUACCCUUCUCCCUCCGGUUAUAUUUUUAGUUACUUGGAGGUGAAACUGAUACAUGUACAACUCUUUUCCUUGCAAUAAUUCUCAGAGAGUAGGUAUUAUUAUUCUAGAUGAAGAAACUGAGGCUCAGAGAGGACAUGUCACCUGCUCUUGGUCACACAUUUAGGAAAUGGUAUAGACAGGAUUUGAACCCAGUUCCACAGGCCCUUUGCACUUCCAGGCUGUGGGAAGCAGGGAUGGCCAAGUCCUAGGACUCCUCUCCAGACUCCUCCCCCAGGUCACCCAUCCCAGCCCUCCUAGCCUUCUCUCUGCUGCCCAGGGGUGUUUGAGACAGGAUAUGAAUCUGCUUUGAUCCAGGCACGUUUGGGAGGCUGUCAUGAACCCUUGAGCCAGAGAUACCUAAAUUCCUGGGAUUUGGGGGGGCCUGC
Molecule: long non-coding RNA, 7266 nt
Organism: Aethalodelphis obliquidens (Pacific white-sided dolphin)
Lineage: Eukaryota; Metazoa; Chordata; Mammalia; Artiodactyla; Delphinidae
Exons: 5
Source: RefSeq, a predicted model, not a curated record